UAUUUUCCUUUUUUUCCCGCCGCCGCGGUAAUACGUAUGGUGCAAGCGUUAUCCGGAUUUACUGGGUGUAAAGGGAGCGCAGGCGGUGCGGCAAGUCUGAUGUGAAAGCCCGGGGCUCAACCCCGGUACUGCAUUGGAAACUGUCGUACUAGAGUGUCGGAGGGGUAAGCGGAAUUCCUAGUGUAGCGGUGAAAUGCGUAGAUAUUAGGAGGAACACCAGUGGCGAAGGCGGCUUACUGGACGAUAACUGACGCUGAGGCUCGAAAGCGUGGGGAGCAAACAGG
Molecule: ribosomal RNA, 284 nt
Filed under: Roseburia faecis M72/1
Lineage: Bacteria; Bacillati; Bacillota; Clostridia; Lachnospirales; Lachnospiraceae
Description: partial 16S ribosomal RNA
Rfam family: Bacterial small subunit ribosomal RNA
Source: RNAcentral